CUUGGCCUCGCUGACAGGCUUAAUUAUGCAAAAUCUGACAUUUUAAAAGAUUAAGAAAACACAUUCACUUUAUAAUUAAGGAGCAAUGUUUAAUCUAUGUAAAUUCUUUACAUCCCACAUUGGUUGCUUAUCCCAUUAGCAAAGAAAAAGAAAAAAACACAGCUGCGGAAUAUCAGAACAGAAACAGUCUACAGAGUCCUGAUCAACUACUAUCUCGACACCAACCCUAGUUCCUAUAGUUUGGAU
Molecule: non-coding RNA, 246 nt
Organism: Pelobates cultripes (western spadefoot toad)
Lineage: Eukaryota; Metazoa; Chordata; Amphibia; Anura; Pelobatidae
Source: the annotation of a GenBank genome assembly